AUGUAGUGUAGCAUGCCCGUUUGUGGAAUUACGUGGAAUUUGAUUGUCAUUUAAAUGAUUUUGGGUAACGGCGUGUUAUAAGAUG
This 85-nucleotide microRNA precursor is filed under the name Medicago truncatula (barrel medic). RNAcentral's name for it is "MIR2617 microRNA precursor family". It matches the Rfam family "MIR2617 microRNA precursor family". The record is from Rfam by way of RNAcentral. Lineage: Eukaryota; Viridiplantae; Streptophyta; Magnoliopsida; Fabales; Fabaceae.